AAGGCUUUAGCUUAGUUAAAGUGUCUGUUUUGCAUACAGGAGAUGUGGGCGAACAUCCCGCAAGUCUUA
Molecule: transfer RNA, 69 nt
Filed under: Channa aurantimaculata (orangespotted snakehead)
Lineage: Eukaryota; Metazoa; Chordata; Actinopteri; Anabantiformes; Channidae
Description: tRNA-Ala
Rfam family: tRNA
About the family: Transfer RNA (tRNA) molecules are approximately 80 nucleotides in length. Their secondary structure includes four short double-helical elements and three loops (D, anti-codon, and T loops).
Source: RNAcentral